UACAGAGGUCUCAAGCGUUGUUCGGAUUCAUUGGGCGUAAAGGGUGCGUAGGUGGCGCGGUAAGUCGGGUGUGAAAUCUCGGAGCUUAACUCCGAAAUUGCAUUCGAUACUGCCGUGCUCGAGGACUGGAGAGGAGACUGGAAUUCAUGGUGUAGCAGUGAAAUGCGUAGAGAUCAUGAGGAAGACCAGUGGCGAAGGCGGGUCUCUGGACAGUUCCUGACACUGAGGCACGAGGGCCAGGGGAGCAAACGGG
RNAcentral lists this ribosomal RNA (253 nucleotides) under uncultured bacterium. Its description in RNAcentral is "partial 16S ribosomal RNA". It matches the Rfam family "Bacterial small subunit ribosomal RNA", at positions 524 to 776 of the family's 1533-position model. The record is from RNAcentral.